RNAcentral lists this transfer RNA (84 nucleotides) under Lactobacillales bacterium. RNAcentral describes it as "tRNA-Leu". It matches the Rfam family "tRNA". From Rfam's summary of the family: Transfer RNA (tRNA) molecules are approximately 80 nucleotides in length. Their secondary structure includes four short double-helical elements and three loops (D, anti-codon, and T loops). The record is from RNAcentral. Lineage: Bacteria; Bacillati; Bacillota; Bacilli; Lactobacillales.
GCGGGCGUGGUGAAAUGGCAGACACGACGGUCUUAGAAGCCGUUGCCGCAAGGCAUGGGGGUUCAAGUCCCUCCGCCCGCACCA